Molecule: ribosomal RNA, 452 nt
Filed under: uncultured bacterium
Lineage: Bacteria
Description: bacterial SSU rRNA
Rfam family: Bacterial small subunit ribosomal RNA
Source: RNAcentral
UACGGGAGGCAGCAGUGGGGAAUAUUGCACAAUGGGCGCAAGCCUGAUGCAGCCAUGCCGCGUGUAUGAAGAAGGCCUUCGGGUUGUAAAGUACUUUCAGUCGUGAGGAAGGUGUUAAGGUUAAUAACCUUAGCAAUUGACGUUAGCGACAGAAGAAGCACCGGCUAACUCCGUGCCAGCAGCCGCGGUAAUACGGAGGGUGCGAGCGUUAAUCGGAAUUACUGGGCGUAAAGGGCACGCAGGCGAUUAAUUAAGUUGGAUGUGAAAUCCCCGGGCUUAACCUGGGAAUGGCAUUCAAGACUGGUUAGCUAGAGUCUUGUAGAGGGGGUAGAAUUCCAUGUGUAGCGGUGAAAUGCGUAGAGAUGUGGAGGAAUACCGGUGGCGAAGGCGGCCCCUGGACAAAGACUGACGCUCAUGUGCGAAAGCGUGGGGAGCAAACAGGAUUAGAUACC